Molecule: long non-coding RNA, 205 nt
Organism: Paramisgurnus dabryanus
Lineage: Eukaryota; Metazoa; Chordata; Actinopteri; Cypriniformes; Cobitidae
Source: RefSeq, a predicted model, not a curated record
CUAUGGCAAAUUCUAAGGUCAUUUUCUUGUUGUGUUUUGAUGUUUUCCAUUGGCUGAAGACUAAGAUGAGCCUGAAGAGGAGAUUUGGGAAGUCUUUGCUUUGCCAGAUCACCUGUGGUCGGGAUGUCUGCUAACAAGAUGCCUUGUUGGUCUGGGCGAGUUUGAAGUCUCUCACAGACAGUCCAGAAGGUCUGGAGUCCAUCUU